GUAUCAAGUCUCGGCAGCACAUAUACUAAAAUUAGAAUGAUACAGAGAAGAUUAGCAGGGCCCCUGGGCUAGACAGUUUUAUAAUCAGAUGUACCAAUAAAACUUUGU
Small nuclear RNA from Acomys russatus (golden spiny mouse), 108 nucleotides. Lineage: Eukaryota; Metazoa; Chordata; Mammalia; Rodentia; Muridae. The record is from RefSeq and is a predicted model, not a curated record.